UGACGGUACCUGACUAAGAAGCUCCGGCUAAAUACGUGCCAGCAGCCGCGGUAAUACGUAUGGAGCAAGCGUUAUCCGGAUUUACUGGGUGUAAAGGGAGCGCAGACGGUAAGAUAAGUCUGAUGUGAAAACCCGGGGCUCAACCCCGGGAUUGCAUUGGAAACUGUAGAACUAGAGUGCAGGAGAGGUAAGCGGAAUUCCUAGUGUAGCGGUGAAAUGCGUAGAUAUUAGGAGGAACACCAGUGGCGAAGGCGGCUUACUGGACGGUAAAUGACGCUCAGGCUCGAAAGCGUGGGGAGCAAACAGGAUUAGAUACCCUG
Molecule: ribosomal RNA, 320 nt
Filed under: uncultured bacterium
Lineage: Bacteria
Description: bacterial SSU rRNA
Rfam family: Bacterial small subunit ribosomal RNA
Source: RNAcentral